CUCAUGGAGAGUUUGAUCCUGGCUCAGGAUAAACAUUGGCGGCGUGCUUAACACAUGCAAGUCAGACGGGAAAUCGUGUUUGCAGUGGCAGACGGGUGAGUAACGUGUAAGAACCUGCCCUUGGGAGGGGAACAACAAUUGGAAACGGCUGCUAAUACCCUGUAGGCUGAGGAGCAAAAGGAGGAAUCCGCCCGAGGAGGGGCUCGCGUCUGA
Molecule: non-coding RNA, 213 nt
Filed under: Gossypium arboreum
Lineage: Eukaryota; Viridiplantae; Streptophyta; Magnoliopsida; Malvales; Malvaceae
Description: Bacterial small subunit ribosomal RNA
Rfam family: Bacterial small subunit ribosomal RNA
Source: Rfam by way of RNAcentral